Long non-coding RNA from Solea solea (common sole), 2174 nucleotides. RefSeq lists it as uncharacterized. The record is from RefSeq and is a predicted model, not a curated record. The transcript is spliced from 4 exons. NCBI's taxonomy places the organism in Eukaryota, Metazoa, Chordata, Actinopteri, Pleuronectiformes, Soleidae.
UUCCUCUGUACCAAGAAUGAACAAAAAGCAAAGGUUAAUCAUCUAAAUCAUUCAUGAAAAUCUACAACAAGCAUUUCUCAGCACUGCACACUGGUGCCCACAGCAAGUCACCUAUCAAGUGAAGUAUUGUACAGUUAUGAAAUUAAAAGACCAACCUUCCUUGCACAAUAGAUAGAUACAUGUUCACUGCUUUAUUUUGCACUUCCGGCAGCCCUCUGUGCUUGGAAACUUAAGUUUAAUGUUGCUUUGUAAACCAGUCACUCCCAGCACCAAAGUCCAUACCAAAAAAUCACAGAUUUUGCACCAUGGCAGACAGGUAUCGUUGAUCCACGAAUGUCUCCAUCAGUAAGUUCAAAUGUAUAAUUUUGUGACUUCUGUGUUUAAAAUCUUUUGUUUAGUUUUACCUACGUGACAGAAAAUUGCCAAAAGCCGCAGCAGAAGAACCAGCAGCUCCAGUAUCUAGAAGAGCUAAAAUUGAUGAUUUUCUCUAUGGAAUUUGGUGUGGGGGAGUGAGUGUUUGAAAAACGUCCGUUUCCAGUCAGAAAAGGUUGUUUGAAGUCACAGGACCACACUUUAAAAGACCAAACCAUCAACAUUGACAGUGCUGCAAAGGCCAUCACCUCGGUCAGACUCUGAGUGGUUGGAGAACGUCCGUGAGUCCAGGCUGUCUGUGCGGACCCUCUCUCCGUGAGUCUGGAGCUGGGAGAGCUGCCUCUGCAGAUGCCUCUGCUCUCGCUCUAAGUUCUCCAGCUGGUGCAGACUCCUGCGGUCCACCUCUUCAAGUUUCUAAACACAGACACAUACAAGAGUUAAAGGUCUGGUGUGGGUGUUACUGGCAGAAACUGAAUAUACUACACCACAAACAUCUUUGGCACCACACCUUGAUAUGUGCUUUGGCCUUGUUGAGGAGUCCCAGCGUGGUGUGCCGACUGCAGUCUGGUCCCAGAGGGAUGAGAGACUUCAACCUCUCCAAACACAGGCGGAGGUGUGCUCGUCUAUGGAGAGGAAACACACACACAAGCAUCCAGGAUCACAACCAGAGUCACAAUCUGGGUUUUAGAGCCAAGAAGCAGAUGCUGCCACAUCCUGGAGCUACGGAACCAGACUGCUGCUGCUGCUGCUGCUGCUGCUGCUGUUAUUCGACGUGUGCAGCUGAGAAUCUCUCAGGAAGGAGCCCCGUUGUCUGGAAACAGACGGUUCCCGUUUGCUGACGGGGGACAUGUCUGCAUGUCCUCCAGGAACAGAACUGCUGUUACUGAGGCUGCAGCACACACCUCCCACCCUCCCCUUUUUUUUAUUUGCCUUGCAAAAGACACACACACAGCCUUUAUUGGAUUCCAAUGAUGAUAAGCUGAUUUAUAGACGUGCAGUGUGUCUUGUUUUUGAAAUUUUAUUUCAAGAAUAAAACAGGAGGUGCUUCACGACACUUUAGGUAAGAGGCUAUAAGAUCGAGGCAGCUAUAGCGUUAUUUUAGACAUUCCUCGUGGCAGAGCCGGCGAAGAAGAAGCAGAGGAAACCGUUGUUGGAGGAAAACAACAGUCGUUUUUUAAAUUGAAUUGAAAAACACAGGUAUGCAAAAUGGAUGCCGAUCGGCAUGGACAAGGAUCCACGGCUUGUGUUCGCCGGCUCCGUUGAAGACAAAUGCACAGGGCCCAUGUCAAUGUUACAAUAUUUACAUGGUGUCAUGAAAAUAUGUACUCCAAAACUGUAGGGGGCGCUCCGUAGAAAAAAGUGACCAGACUUGCAAAGUCCUACUUUAACUGGUCCACGUAAAUAUGAACAUGUUUCUCCUUCUUUUUAGCCUCACUCCUCCACAAUUUAAAAAAAUAUUUUAUUUAUUUUUACUGCUUUUAAAUCCUUAAAUGGUCUUGCUCCGCCCCCUCUCUGAGGUCAGCUGAUCAGCUGCUCCUGACAGAGUGGAGCUGUUCUUCUCCUUGACCUUUGACACUCUUUAAGUUGCUUGACAUUUUAUUUUAUUAGUUUGUGUUGUUUUUUUAUUGUGUGUUUUAUGUCUUUUAAUUUGUUUUAACACAUAUUUUAUUGCUUUUAUUUUACAGCUUGUAUGCUCUACAAAUAAAGUUGGAUUUUAUUAUCAGUUCUGGACUCAUCAUAAACGUGUCCACACAAACUUCCUCAUCCAUGUAUCUGUACUCACCUAUUCUUCUCCAGUUCAU